UUGAGAAAAACAAAAACAGAGAGGGGCGGUGGGAAGACUCUCCCUCCUUACAUAACAGUCUCUAGCAGAAAAAAAAUCUGCUCGUUUUACCACCACCAGCACCAUACUAGAAACCCGUCUGUCUGCUCUGCGCUCAACGCCACACCCUGUAGUACGACUCUGCUUGGAUUUUCAUCAUUUGGGAUGGUUUUGUUUGUUGGACAGAAAGGAGUCUCUUAGUGCUUUUAAUAAUGAAUGAUGCUCAUUAUACGCAUCAGAGUGUGCAAGUGAUAUGUAUGUGUAAUGCUUGCUUACAUUUUUAAUGCGCUGCACGCGUUUUAGGAUGACAGCAAGUAGUAGCUGGAGGAUAAAAUUAAUAUAUUUUGCAAGGCAUAUGUGCAAAGAACAUGUAGUAACAUUCAGCAGGGUCUUCGAGUUCGCGUAUGAUGCUCAUACCAACGGUGUAUGAAUUUUGACGCCGUUCUGCCUCCUUGUGGCUACACGAAAAACUUCAGGAAAUGGAAAAUAAUAGAUCAAUUGUUGUGUGAAGGUUUUAUCCUCCAUAUUUAAUGUCUUGCAAAUGACGAACAUAGCAAGCAGGAGCCUUGUGAUGUGCAUAACAUGCAAUGCUACGUGCAAGUUACAACAAUAAAGAAAUAAAAACAGGAUAAAGCAAUGGAAAAAGUUGAGAAUUAUUGAAGAACAAAAAAAACAAACUUUUUACUUUUUGGAUGGCUUGUUUGAACUGAACCAGACACAUAUAUCAACACGAACUACAGCAACGCCCGUAGCCAAGGAGAGUUCGGGUGGUUCGAAAGACCCCUCCCUGACAAAGGUCCAGAUUUUGUCCCAUAUAUGAGCUCAUUUGACACACUCUCCCAAUUCAAAACUAGAUUAAAGACCUAUCUGUUCAGUAAAGCAUACACUUAGUGCACCACUUAGGGGGCUUCCACACAGGUUAUGCAUCUUGCUGAUAUACACUGUGAACAUCAGCUACGCUAAUUAUUUUCUUUAUUCUCCAUUUCCACCUGGGGAUACUCUUCCCGAGGCCCUCAGACUAUGCAGAGUCACUGAUUCGAUCCAAGACCAACGACGAGAUGAUCCCAAGGUUUCCAUAUCCUGGACCAGGCCGAAUCCUGAGCAGCUACUGCGAUGGUCAUGGAAGAGUGGAGAACAUGAGACUGUUUCCUAUGACGCUCCAGAGACAGACGAGUCUUCGCUGAGGCCAGCUUCCAGCCUCCGCCACUGAGACUGCAGCUCUGCACAAGACGUUUGGCCAGCGGAGAAAUUAAAAUGGUCGUGCCCAACUGAGCCUGGUUUCUCUCAAGGUUUUUUUUCUUCACUUCCGCCUUUAGUGAAGUUUUUUUUCCCUCUCCGCUGUCGCCACUGGCUUGCAUGGUUCAGGAUCUGUAGAGCUGCGCAUCGUUGGAUUUGCUCUUCAAUAUUUGGACUCUCAGUAGUGAUUAUUAAACCACACUGAACUGAGCUAAACUGAACUGAACUUAAACACUACAAACUUAACUACACUGUUCCUAUUUACUGUGACCUUUUAUGUGAAGCUGCUUUGACACAAUCUACAUUGUAUAAGCGCUAUACAAAUAAAGGUG
Long non-coding RNA from Danio aesculapii, 1586 nucleotides. RefSeq lists it as uncharacterized. The record is from RefSeq and is a predicted model, not a curated record. The transcript is spliced from 5 exons. Lineage: Eukaryota; Metazoa; Chordata; Actinopteri; Cypriniformes; Danionidae.